This 253-nucleotide ribosomal RNA is filed under the name uncultured bacterium. RNAcentral's name for it is "partial 16S ribosomal RNA". It matches the Rfam family "Bacterial small subunit ribosomal RNA", at positions 524 to 776 of the family's 1533-position model. The record is from RNAcentral.
UACAGAGGUCCCAAGCGUUGUUCGGAUUCAUUGGGCGUAAAGGGUGCGUAGGCGGCGCGGCAAGUCGGGUGUGAAAUCUCGGAGCUUAACUCCGAAACUGCAUUCGAUACUGCCGUGCUUGAGGACUGGAGAGGAGACUGGAAUUUACGGUGUAGCGGUGAAAUACGUAGAUAUCGUAAGGAAGACCAGUGGCGAAGGCGGGUCUCUGGACAGUUCCUGCCGCUGAGGCACGAAGGCCAGGGGAGCAAACGGG